CAGUCGCCACGGUAAUACGUAGGGUGCGAGCGUUAAUCGGAAUUACUGGGCGUAAAGCGUGCGCAGGCGGUUUUGUAAGACAGAGGUGAAAUCCCCGGGCUCAACCUGGGAACUGCCUUUGUGACUGCAAGGCUAGAGUACGGCAGAGGGGGAUGGAAUUCCGCGUGUAGCAGUGAAAUGCGUAGAUAUGCGGAGGAACACCGAUGGCGAAGGCAAUCCCCUGGGCCUGUACUGACGCUCAUGCACGAAAGCGUGGGGAGCAAACAGGAUUAGAUACCCGCGUAGUCCCUGUUUCUUAUAC
Molecule: ribosomal RNA, 301 nt
Filed under: uncultured bacterium
Lineage: Bacteria
Description: partial 16S ribosomal RNA
Rfam family: Bacterial small subunit ribosomal RNA
Source: RNAcentral